GGGAAUUGUUCGCAAUGGGCGCAAGCCUGACGACGCAACGCCGCGUGGAGGAUGAAGAUCUUCGGGUCGUAAACUCCUGUCGAGCGGGAAGAACACCUUUCGGGCGAAUAUCCCGGAGGGCUGACGGUACCGCUAAAGGAAGCCCCGGCUAACUCCGUGCCAGCAGCCGCGGUAAUACGGGGGGGGCAAGCGUUGUUCGGAAUUACUGGGCGUAAAGGGCGCGUAGGCGGCCCGCUAAGUCGAACGUGAAAUCCCCAGGCUCAACCUGGGAACUGCGUCCGAUACUGGCAGGCUUGAAUCCGGGAGAGGGAUGUGGAAUUCCAGGUGUAGCGGUGAAAUGCGUAGAUAUCUGGAGGAACACCGGUGGCGAAGGCGGCAUCCUGGACCGGUAUUGACGCUGAGGCGCGAAAGCUAGGGGAGCAAA
This 424-nucleotide ribosomal RNA is filed under the name uncultured bacterium. RNAcentral describes it as "bacterial SSU rRNA". It matches the Rfam family "Bacterial small subunit ribosomal RNA", at positions 357 to 772 of the family's 1533-position model. The record is from RNAcentral.